Molecule: ribosomal RNA, 402 nt
Filed under: uncultured bacterium
Lineage: Bacteria
Description: bacterial SSU rRNA
Rfam family: Bacterial small subunit ribosomal RNA
Source: RNAcentral
UCGAGAAUCUUUCGCAAUGCCCGAAAGGGUGACGAAGCGACGCCGCGUGCGGGAAGAAGGCCUUCGGGUUGUAAACCGCUGUCGGGAGUUAAGAAAUGCAAGGAUAUUAAUAGUGUCUUUGCUUGACUAAGGCUCCGGAGGAAGCCACGGCUAACUCUGUGCCAGCAGCCGCGGUAAUACAGAGGCGGCAAGCGUUGUUCGGAAUUAUUGGGCGUAAAGAGCACGUAGGCGGCUAUGUAAGUCGGUUGUGAAAGCCUUCCGCUCAACGGGAGAACAGCAUCCGAUACUGCAUGGCUUGAGUGCGGGAGGGGAGAGUGGAACUUCUGGUGGAGCGGUGAAAUGCGUAGAUAUCAGAAGGAACGCCGGCGGCGAAAGCGGCUCUCUGGCCCGUAACUGACGCUG